GCAGGGCGUCACCAGCCCGCGUCUCCGGGGUCUCCAGGAUCACUUGUAACCGAGGGACAUACGUGGUCACCUGUAGCCCGGGACCCCAGCGCAGCAGCCGGGCCAGCUCUGCGUUGCCCCCAUCCCUCACCAGCAGCCUCCGCUAAAAAAGCUGGCGGAUCUGGGAAGGCCGCGAUGUCUCCAGCCGGCCAGGACCACAAGGCUAUUAACCCAGCUGCGUCACGGUCGCUGAGGCCGCUGCGCAGCAGAGGAAACCGGAGCUGGGACCACAGGACUCUCCCUGCAUGCUACCCCCGCCCGCGUCCCCAGCGCCCCGCUUCCCCAAAGCCCUGAGUCCCCAGCUAGCCCACCGCAGAACAUACCCCGGACUCUAGGUUUCCUGGCCGAUAGAGAGCAGAGCUGAGAGGACGAAGAAUCUACUGUGCCCUGAGCCUCAAAUACCUGAGGGGCGGGGGAAGCGGGCGGAGUCUACAGCCUGGCCACAGCCCUUAGGCAGGGGCAGAGGACAAGGCCAGACUAGGACUCACUGAGCUGCCCAGGCUGGCCUUGAACCUACUUUCUGGUCCAGACUUAUUCUACUUACUGAAUGGGCCAGGAGCCACUUGGAGACAGAGAGAGAGAAGACACAGUCUCGGCCUCAGUACAGAUGUGCACACAGAUGAAAUAUGGUGUGUUAUGUGCAGUACCAGUGCUGAAUAUAAGGGGCA
Long non-coding RNA from Peromyscus eremicus (cactus mouse), 707 nucleotides. RefSeq lists it as uncharacterized. The record is from RefSeq and is a predicted model, not a curated record. The transcript is spliced from 3 exons. Lineage: Eukaryota; Metazoa; Chordata; Mammalia; Rodentia; Cricetidae.